Molecule: signal recognition particle RNA, 98 nt
Filed under: Planctomycetota bacterium
Lineage: Bacteria; Pseudomonadati; Planctomycetota
Description: signal recognition particle sRNA small type
Rfam family: Bacterial small signal recognition particle RNA
About the family: The signal recognition particle (SRP) is a universally conserved ribonucleoprotein involved in the co-translational targeting of proteins to membranes. Archaeal SRP consists of a 7S RNA and homologues of the eukaryotic SRP19 and SRP54 proteins. In most bacteria, the SRP consists of a 4.5S RNA and the Ffh protein (a homologue of the eukaryotic SRP54 protein).
Source: RNAcentral
GGUCCGGUCCCAUGCAAUGGGACGUUUUCGAACCGGGUCAGGCCGGGAACGGAGCAGCCCUAAGAUCCACGGCCCAGGUGCGCGGUGCCCGGACCCAC